RNAcentral lists this ribosomal RNA (246 nucleotides) under uncultured bacterium. Its description in RNAcentral is "partial 16S ribosomal RNA". It matches the Rfam family "Bacterial small subunit ribosomal RNA", at positions 1257 to 1500 of the family's 1533-position model. The record is from RNAcentral.
GUGAGGUGGAGCAAAACUCAAAAACUUAGUCUCAGUUCGGAUUGUAGGCUGAAACUCGCCUACAUGAAGCUGGAGUUGCUAGUAAUCGCGAAUCAGCAUGUCGCGGUGAAUACGUUCCCGGGCCUUGUACACACCGCCCGUCACACCAUGAGAGUUGGCAAUACCCAACGUACGUGAUCUAACCCGCAAGGGAGGAAGCGUCCUAAGGUAGGGUCAGCGAUUGGGGUGAAGUCGUAACAAGGUAGC